Daphnia pulicaria is the source of this 388-nucleotide long non-coding RNA. RefSeq lists it as uncharacterized. Lineage: Eukaryota; Metazoa; Arthropoda; Branchiopoda; Diplostraca; Daphniidae. The transcript has 2 exons. The record is from RefSeq and is a predicted model, not a curated record.
AUCACCAUUCUCCUUUUCAGGUUAAUCCUUAUUGCUGCUGUUCAACUUGAUCUUGGUGAAACGGAGGAGAGAUUUAUAUUUCCUAGGAUUCAACAUAUUCAUAACCACGUCAUGUGCAAAUAUUUUCAAUGGAGGUAGCUGGUGGUGUGUUGGAGGUUGAUCCGAGUCUCUCGUUUGGUUAUUAAGACCGACCAGGCCCAAAAAAUGCUGAUAAGAGAAGUACGGCGUAGCUUCGUCACGUCCGUAGUAACUUACAAGUCUGACAGGUAUGCCAUGCCUUAUCAUCAUAUUGGUGUGUAUCAUACCUGGUCCAGCGUUAGCGAUUCCAGUACCUGUUCCAACGGCUUGGCCGUUUUGUACUGCACCAUUACCUGCACCUCCAGCAUUG